GUCAUGUUCGCGUUUGCACCAUAUGGAGAUUAUUGGCGUGAAAUGCGCAAGAUAAUAUCCGUGGAACUAUUCUGUAGUCGCCAGAUUGAGUUACGCAAGCACGUUAUAGAAUCUGAAGUUGAAACGUCCAUAAAAGAGCUCCACAAAUUCUGGACGGAGAAAGAGAAUGGCUCAGGCCACGUUUCAGUUGAGUUGAAACAAUGGUUCGGUGACUUAGGUCUUAACGUGAUUCUUAGAAUAAUUGUGGGGAUGAGGCACUUUGGUGCUACUGCUGGGAGUGAUAGAAAAGAAGUGGACCGGUGCCGUAAGGCGAUGAGAGAAUUCUUCGAUUUUCUGGGCCUGUUUGUUUUGAGGGAUGCAAUACCUUUUCUUGGUUGGCUGGACGUGGGUGGACAUGAGAAGUGCAUGAAAAAAGCUGCUAAAGAACUUGACGAGCUUGUCAGUGAAUGGUUAGAGGAGCAUCGCAAGAAGAGGGAUUCUGGUGACUUGGCUAAAAAAGAACAAGACUUCAUGGAUGUCAUGCUUUCGGUUCUUGAAGAAACUCAAUUUGUAGGUUACGACUCUGAUAUGAUCAACAAGUCUGCAUGUUUGAAUUUAAUUGCGGGGGGCAGUGAUACCACUACAAUUGUCCUGACAUGGAUAGUUUCAUUACUGCUGAACAACAGGCACGUAUUGAAGAAAGCACAAGAAGAAUUAGACAUGCUGGUUGGCAGAGAAAGACUAGUGAAUGAAUCAGAUAUUAGUAAAUUAAUUUAUCUCCAAGCAAUAAUCAAAGAAACACUGCGAUUGUAUCCACCAGCUCCAUUGUCAGGACCUCGAGAAAUUAUAGAGGAUUGCACCAUCAGUGGCUACCAUGUAAAGAAAGGAACUAGGCUGAUUCCAAACCUUUGGAAGAUCCACACAGACCCACGCAUAUGGCCAAAUCCAUUGGAGUUUAAGCCAGAGAGAUUUCUUACUAGCCAUAAGCACAUUGACGUUAAGGGACAAAAUUUCGAAUUGAUCCCAUUCGGAAGUGGUAGAAGAGCAUGCCCUGGAACAUCAUUUGGCCUUCCAACGGUACACAUAGCAUUGGCUAGCUUUCUACAAGCUUUUGAGAUAUUAAAUCCUACAAGUGGACCUAUUGACAUGACUGAGAGUCCUGGAUUAACGAACAUCAAAGCCACCCCACUUGAAAUUUUGGUUUCGCCACGCCUGCCUCUUGAGCUUUACAACAUACAAUGAAUAUUAGUGCAG
RNAcentral lists this unclassified non-coding RNA (1233 nucleotides) under Hevea brasiliensis (rubber tree). The record is from RNAcentral. Lineage: Eukaryota; Viridiplantae; Streptophyta; Magnoliopsida; Malpighiales; Euphorbiaceae.